Molecule: ribosomal RNA, 497 nt
Filed under: uncultured bacterium
Lineage: Bacteria
Description: partial 16S ribosomal RNA
Rfam family: Bacterial small subunit ribosomal RNA
Source: RNAcentral
GAUGAACGCUGGCGGCGUGCCUAAUACAUGCAAGUCGAGCGAACAGACGAGGAGCUUGCUCCUCUGACGUUAGCGGCGGACGGGUGAGUAACACGUGGAUAACCUACCUAUAAGACUGGGAUAACUUCGGGAAACCGGAGCUAAUACCGGAUAAUAUAUUGAACCGCAUGGUUCAAUAGUGAAAGACGGUUUUGCUGUCACUUAUAGAUGGAUCCGCGCCGCAUUAGCUAGUUGGUAAGGUAACGGCUUACCAAGGCAACGAUGCGUAGCCGACCUGAGAGGGUGAUCGGCCACACUGGAACUGAGACACGGUCCAGACUCCUACGGGAGGCAGCAGUAGGGAAUCUUCCGCAAUGGGCGAAAGCUUGACGGAGCAACGCCGCGUGAGUGAUGAAGGUCUUCGGAUCGUAAAACUCUGUUAUUAGGGAAGAACAAAUGUGGAAGUAACUAUGCACGUCUUGACGGUACCUAAUCAGAAAGCCACGGCUAACUACGUG